This 254-nucleotide ribosomal RNA is filed under the name uncultured bacterium. RNAcentral describes it as "partial 16S ribosomal RNA". It matches the Rfam family "Bacterial small subunit ribosomal RNA", at positions 524 to 776 of the family's 1533-position model. The record is from RNAcentral.
UACGGAGGGUGCAAGCGUUAUCCGGAUUCACUGGGUUUAAAGGGUGCGUAGGAGGGCAGGUAAGUCAGUGGUGAAAUCUUCGAGCUUAACUCGGAAACUGCCGUUGAUACUAUCUGUCUUGAAUACCGUGGAGGUGAGCGGAAUAUGUCAUGUAGCGGUGAAAUGCUUAGAUAUGACAUAGAACACCAAUUGCGAAGGCAGCUCGCUACACGAAUAUUGACUCUGAGGCACGAAAAGCGUGGGGAUCAAACAGG